Molecule: ribosomal RNA, 301 nt
Filed under: uncultured bacterium
Lineage: Bacteria
Description: partial 16S ribosomal RNA
Rfam family: Bacterial small subunit ribosomal RNA
Source: RNAcentral
CAGUAGCCACGGGAAUACGAAGGGGGCUAGCGUUGUUCGGAUUUACUGGGCGUAAAGGGCGCGUAGGCGGACUGAUAAGUCAGGGGUGAAAUCCCAAGGCUCAACCUUGGAACUGCCUUUGAUACUGUUUGUCUUGAGUUCGAGAGAGGUAAGUGGAACUGCGAGUGUAGAGGUGAAAUUCGUAGAUAUUCGCAAGAACACCAGUGGCGAAGGCGGCUUACUGGCUCGAAACUGACGCUGAGGCGCGAAAGCGUGGGGAGCAAACAGGAUUAGAUACCCCAGUAGUCCCUGUCUCUUAUAC